CACAACUCCACGCAUGAACCCACCUGAGCUCACAUGAUAUGAGCUUUUUGAAAUCGUCAUCUCAUUACCGUUAUCAUUCUUAAUGUCACCGUUAACGCCGCCAGCAUGAUACAGAGCCGUAGCAACGGAAGAGUGGGGCUUUGUGGAGAGUAGCCUCUUGGUAAUGGCAAAGCGAAGUAGUGAAGAAAAUCCCAUUUUCCUCGGAUGC
This 208-nucleotide unclassified non-coding RNA is filed under the name Hevea brasiliensis (rubber tree). The record is from RNAcentral. Lineage: Eukaryota; Viridiplantae; Streptophyta; Magnoliopsida; Malpighiales; Euphorbiaceae.